Molecule: transfer RNA, 73 nt
Filed under: Rhodomicrobium vannielii ATCC 17100
Lineage: Bacteria; Pseudomonadati; Pseudomonadota; Alphaproteobacteria; Hyphomicrobiales; Hyphomicrobiaceae
Rfam family: tRNA
About the family: Transfer RNA (tRNA) molecules are approximately 80 nucleotides in length. Their secondary structure includes four short double-helical elements and three loops (D, anti-codon, and T loops).
Source: Rfam by way of RNAcentral
GAGCCCAUAGCUCAGCCGGUAGAGCAUCUGACUUUUAAUCAGAGGGUCGAUGGUUCGAAUCCAUCUGGGCUCA